This 301-nucleotide ribosomal RNA is filed under the name uncultured bacterium. RNAcentral's name for it is "partial 16S ribosomal RNA". It matches the Rfam family "Bacterial small subunit ribosomal RNA", at positions 509 to 807 of the family's 1533-position model. The record is from RNAcentral.
CAGUCGCCGCGGGAACACCGAGGGUGCAAGCGUUAAUCGGAAUUACUGGGCGUAAAGCGCGCGUAGGUGGUUUGUUAAGUUGGAUGUGAAAGCCCCGGGCUCAACCUGGGAACUGCAUCCAAAACUGGCAAGCUAGAGUACGGUAGAGGGUGGUGGAAUUUCCUGUGUAGCGGUGAAAUGCGUAGAUAUAGGAAGGAACACCAGUGGCGAAGGCGACCACCUGGACUGAUACUGACACUGAGGUGCGAAAGCGUGGGGAGCAAACAGGAUUAGAUACCCCUGUAGUCCCUGUCUCUUAUAC